This 909-nucleotide ribosomal RNA is filed under the name uncultured bacterium. RNAcentral describes it as "bacterial SSU rRNA". It matches the Rfam family "Bacterial small subunit ribosomal RNA", at positions 8 to 916 of the family's 1533-position model. The record is from RNAcentral.
AGAGUUUGAUCAUGGCUCAGGACGAACGCUGACGGCGUGCCUAACACAUGCAAGUCGAACGAGAAUCUACUUAUGAAAUUUUCGGAUGGAUUAGGUAGAGGAAAGUGGCGAACGGGUGAGUAACGUGUGAGCAAUCUGCCUUGUACUGGGGGAUAACGUCGGGAAACCGGCGCUAAUACCGCAUAAUACUAUGAGAUCGCAUGGUCAUAUAGUCAAAACUCCGGUGGUACAAGAUGAGCUCGCGUCCAAUUAGCUAGUUGGUGGGGUAAUGGCCCACCAAGGCGACGAUUGGUAGCCGAACUGAGAGGUUGAUCGGCCACAUUGGGACUGAGACACGGCCCAGACUCCUACGGGAGGCAGCAGUGGGGAAUAUUGCGCAAUGGAGGGAACUCUGACGCAGCAACGCCGCGUGAAGGAUGAAGGUUUUCGGAUUGUAAACUUCUUUGAUCGGGGACGAAAUUGACGGUACCCGAGGAACAAGCCACGGCUAACUACGUGCCAGCAGCCGCGGUAAUACGUAGGUGGCAAGCGUUGUCCGGAAUUACUGGGUGUAAAGGGCGUGUAGGCGGGAAGGCAAGUCAGAUGUGAAAGCCCAUGGCUUAACUGUGGAAUUGCAUCUGAAACUGUUUUUCUUGAGUGCUGGAGAGGAAAGUGGAAUUCCUAGUGUAGCGGUGAAAUGCGUAGAGAUUAGGAGGAACACCAGUGGCGAAGGCGGCUUUCUGGACAGUAACUGACGCUGAGGCGCGAAAGCAUGGGGAGCGAACAGGAUUAGAUACCCUGGUAGUCCAUGCCGUAAACGUUGGGCACUAGGUGUGGGGGACAUUCCACGCUUUCCGCGCCGUAGCUAACGCAUUAAGUGCCCCGCCUGGGGAGUACGGCCGCAAGGCUAAAACUCAAAUGAAUUGACGG